Penaeus indicus is the source of this 86-nucleotide small nucleolar RNA. RefSeq annotates it as small nucleolar RNA SNORD34. Lineage: Eukaryota; Metazoa; Arthropoda; Malacostraca; Decapoda; Penaeidae. The record is from RefSeq and is a predicted model, not a curated record. The transcript has a single exon.
UAUGGGCUAUGAUGAAGUGCAAAUAUUACCUACUUGGUUUGCCCCACUUCACCUUGAUGAUAGACCAUAGACCUCUGGUGCCCAUA